Molecule: unclassified non-coding RNA, 223 nt
Filed under: plant metagenome
Description: partial contains small subunit ribosomal RNA, internal transcribed spacer 1, and 5.8S ribosomal RNA
Source: RNAcentral
UUUCCGUAGGUGAACCUGCGGAAGGAUCAUUAAAGAGAAUAUGCCCUUCGGGGUAGACUUCCCACCCAUUGAUUAUAUUAUCUUUGUUGCUUUGUCAGCCCCGUUUUCUUACCACCUGCUUCGGGUGGUCAGUGCUUGCCAGAGUACACAAUUCGCUUUUUUUUAAUGUCAUUUGUGUACUAUAUAAUAGUUAAAACUUUCAACAACGGAUCACUUGGUUCUG